CUAGAUUGUUCAGAAGGUUGUUAUCAUCCAUCCAGAUGGAGGAUCACUAACAGGAGCGUGGGAAGACUCCAGAAUUCACUCUGGCUGGAAUCCGGUGGAUACAGCAGUGUUUACAGAACAGUUCUCCACAGUCACUGUCCAUAUGGGUCAGUGGGACCAAGAAGCACUCUGCUAAUGUGUGGACUCUGACCAGCAACAUCCAGCAAGACCCAGACAGCGUUUUCUAUCUCCCAGCUGGAGUUUUUUGUUUGUCUGUGACUGGAGAGUCAGAUUUUUGUUGAGCUUCAUACUUGCAGAGGAGAAUCAUCAAUUUUGCCAGCAAAGAAGCCUGGUGGAUGUUUGUUUACAGUCUGAUGGUGGGACGUCAUGCUCUGCAUCUUUAAAGUUUGUCUCUUGAUUAUUAUUCAUACCCAGUAAUGUGAAGUAUGCUCAUAUCUACUAUAACUGAACCAACCUGGUGCUCUUCAUUUAUGGAGGCUGUUGAGUCUGAAUGUUGGAUGUUGUGUAUCUCGUGUUCUCUGGGCUUUGUUGUCCUCAGUCUUUUUGCAGGAUCAGAAAACAAAACCAGGAGGCGCGUAAAUGUUUCUUCUCCAUGAUGUUUCUUCAAAUGUUUCUUCUGGAUGAUGAUAUGACCGUGACACGGGAUGCCACCUUUGGUCUUGUGAUGAAGCAAAGCUCAGGAAGAAGUGUGAUUAAAUGGUACCCACAUGUGUGCUGCUGAGAAGGAUGUACAGGGGCACCUGCAGCCAAAUCCAAGC
This is a non-coding RNA of Maylandia zebra (zebra mbuna), 758 nucleotides long. Lineage: Eukaryota; Metazoa; Chordata; Actinopteri; Cichliformes; Cichlidae. The record is from RefSeq and is a predicted model, not a curated record.